GAAGCACGCCAGACCGCCGCUGGUGCAAUCUGGGAAACCAGGCACUGGAGGAACGUCCGGACUGCACAGGACAGCGUAGCAGCUAACGGCUGCCCACCGUGAGGUGAGGAUCAGAGCAACAGAGACGAGUCCCGGGGGAGUGCCGCAAGGUAGACCACUGGGGGUGAAACGGGCAAUCUCUACGCGCAGCAAUACCAAGUAGGCCAGCGUUGAUGUGGUUCCGCAGAGCUGGCGGGUAGGUAGCAUCGAGCCGGGUGGGCGACCCCCGGCCCAGAGUAAUGGCGGUCACGCUGCGGGCAACCGCAGUGCACAGAAUCCGGCUUAUCGGCGCGCUUCACAC
This 340-nucleotide RNase P RNA is filed under the name Burkholderiales bacterium RIFCSPLOWO2_12_FULL_65_40. Its description in RNAcentral is "RNase P RNA component class A". It matches the Rfam family "Bacterial RNase P class A". Rfam says of the family: Ribonuclease P (RNase P) is a ubiquitous endoribonuclease, found in archaea, bacteria and eukarya as well as chloroplasts and mitochondria. Its best characterised activity is the generation of mature 5'-ends of tRNAs by cleaving the 5'-leader elements of precursor-tRNAs. Lineage: Bacteria; Pseudomonadati; Pseudomonadota; Betaproteobacteria; Burkholderiales. The record is from RNAcentral. RNAcentral also lists the same sequence under 1 other name.